RNAcentral lists this ribosomal RNA (250 nucleotides) under uncultured bacterium. Its description in RNAcentral is "partial 16S ribosomal RNA". It matches the Rfam family "Bacterial small subunit ribosomal RNA", at positions 524 to 773 of the family's 1533-position model. The record is from RNAcentral.
UACAGAGGUGGCAAGCGUUGUUCGGAAUUACUGGGCGUAAAGGGCGCGUAGGCGGCCUUCUAAGUCGGACGUGAAAGCCCCAGGCUUAACCUGGGAACUGCGUCUGAUACUGGAAGGCUUGGAUUCGGGAGAGGGAUGUGGAAUUCCAGGUGUAGCGGUGAAAUGCGUAGAUAUCUGGAGGAACACCGGUGGCGAAGGCGGCAUCCUGGACCGAGAUCGACGCUGAGGCGCGAAAGCUAGGGGAGCAAAC